CCUACGGGAGACAGCAGUAGGGAAUUUUGCGCAAUGGGCGAAAGCCUGACGCAGCAACGCCGCGUGCACGAGACGCGCUUCGGGGGGUAAAGAUCUGUCAGUGGGGACGAAACUUGAAGGUACCCACAGAGGAAGCACAGGCUAACACCGUGCAAGCAGCCGAGGUAAUACGGAGGGUGCAAGCGUUGUCCGGAGUAAUUGGGCGUAAAGGGUUCGUAGGCGGCACGGAGAGUCAGGUGUUAAAGGCAUGGGCUAAACUUCUGAACGGCACGGGAUACGUGCGAGCUAGAGUGGAGUAGAGGUAGGCGGAAUGCCUGGUGUAGCGGUGAAAUGCGUAGAGAUCGGGAGGAACACCAGUGGCGAAGGCGGCUUACUGGGCCGUAACUGACGCUGAGGCACGAAAGCGUGGGUAGCAAAUAGGAUUAGAUACCCGUGUAGUC
Molecule: ribosomal RNA, 440 nt
Filed under: uncultured bacterium
Lineage: Bacteria
Description: partial 16S ribosomal RNA
Rfam family: Bacterial small subunit ribosomal RNA
Source: RNAcentral